Molecule: ribosomal RNA, 460 nt
Filed under: uncultured bacterium
Lineage: Bacteria
Description: partial 16S ribosomal RNA
Rfam family: Bacterial small subunit ribosomal RNA
Source: RNAcentral
CCUACGGGGGGCAGCAGUGAGGAAUAUUGGUCAAUGGGCGGGAGCCUGAACCAGCCAAGUCGCGUGAGGGAAGACGGUCCUAUGGAUUGUAAACCUCUUUAGGCGGGGAGCAAUGCCGGGCACGCGUGCCCGGAGGUAGAGUACCCGCAGAAUAAGCAUCGGCUAACUCCGUGCCAGCAGCCGCGGUAAUACGGAGGAUGCGAGCGUUAUCCGGAUUUAUUGGGUUUAAAGGGUGCGUAGGCGGAUUUUUAAGUCAGCGGUAAAAUGUCCGGGCUCAACCCGGGCCGGCCGUUGAAUCUGGGGAGCUUGAGUGGGCGAGAAGUAUGCGGAAUGCGUGGUGUAGCGGUGAAAUGCAUAGAUAUCACGCAGAACUCCGAUUGCGAAGGCAGCAUACCGGCGCCCGACUGACGCUGAGGCACGAAAGCGUGGGGAUCGAACAGGAUUAGAUACCCCUGUAGUC